Canis lupus familiaris (dog) is the source of this 569-nucleotide long non-coding RNA. RefSeq lists it as uncharacterized. The transcript has 4 exons. The record is from RefSeq and is a predicted model, not a curated record. NCBI's taxonomy places the organism in Eukaryota, Metazoa, Chordata, Mammalia, Carnivora, Canidae.
GAUCCCCCUCAGUUAUCUGAGUGGGCCCUAAAUCCAAAUCCAAUGCUAGGUGUCAAGAGACACGCAGGGAGAGGACUGCUGGUCAUAUGAAGACAGAGGCAGAGAUGGGAGAGAUGCACCUGAGAUAUACAGAGUGUAUGCUGAAGAGAAUGAUCCUGUACAGACAGUAUCUUUGAAAAAGUGAGAAGAGAUGCCACCCAGGGCAGAAGUGGAAGUGUUGGCUUUGCAUGGGAGCACUGACAGUUUAUCAGCUGUAACAGAAGGGAAAGUAGAGAAUUGAAGUUGCAAACAUCAUUUGCUGAUGUGCUAUUGGAGAGUGAAUGGAGAACCAUAUUUAUUCAAUGUUGGGGUUUUUCCAGAAAAGUUCAAGGGAAGAAAAAAAGAGCAAGAGAAUGACCACACAUACAGAGAAGUUCCUUCUCAGUAUGGGCUCUGCCAUGCUCCGAGCUGCGUGGUGGACCUUGAGGGGUCUUCAACGUUCCUUGGUCCCUCUCUCCGCAAGAAUGAGCAGCAAUAGGACAGACAGGAGCUAUGCCCUGGCUGAUAAAGUGGCUGUGAUCACUGGAUCC